AUCUACGGCCAUGCUACCCUGAACAAGCCCGAUCUUAUCUUGGAAGCUAAGUAGGGUCGGGCCUGGUUAGUACUUGGAUGUGAGACCACCUAGGAAGACCAAGUGCUGUAGGCG
Pteropus alecto (black flying fox) is the source of this 114-nucleotide non-coding RNA. The record is from Rfam. Lineage: Eukaryota; Metazoa; Chordata; Mammalia; Chiroptera; Pteropodidae.